AAAAGGAUUCAAGUCAUACAAAGUCUAUUACCAGUCUACAACAGAAUUAAAUUAAAAAUCAAUAAAAAGAAAGGUAUUUGGAAAUUCUUCCAAAUAUCUGGAAACUAAAUAACAUACUUCUCAAUAAUCCACUGACCAAAGAAGAAAUCAAAAGAGAAAAGUUAUAAAGUAUAUUGAAUUUAAUAAAAGUCAAAACACAACAUGUCAGAAUUUGUGAGAUACUGUUAAAGCAGCGCUUGAGGAAAUUUACAGCACAGAACACCUGUAACAGAGAAGAAAGGUCUGAAAUCAGUGACCUCCUUAAGAAACUAGAA
Molecule: long non-coding RNA, 314 nt
Organism: Pipistrellus kuhlii (Kuhl's pipistrelle)
Lineage: Eukaryota; Metazoa; Chordata; Mammalia; Chiroptera; Vespertilionidae
Exons: 2
Source: RefSeq, a predicted model, not a curated record